This 47-nucleotide ribosomal RNA is filed under the name Raineyella antarctica. RNAcentral describes it as "23S rRNA. Bacterial LSU". Lineage: Bacteria; Bacillati; Actinomycetota; Actinomycetes; Propionibacteriales; Propionibacteriaceae. The record is from RNAcentral.
GAAAGGUGUGGAGCUGACCGAUACUAAUAGGCCGAGGGCUUAACACA